This is a long non-coding RNA of Felis catus (domestic cat), 8791 nucleotides long. RefSeq lists it as uncharacterized. The transcript is spliced from 4 exons. The record is from RefSeq and is a predicted model, not a curated record. NCBI's taxonomy places the organism in Eukaryota, Metazoa, Chordata, Mammalia, Carnivora, Felidae.
UGCGUACUUGGUGUCUGAGACUUUCUGAGGCCUGUCUAGGAAAUUCUCCUCCAGGCGAAGCCUGGUGAAGGGUUUUUACAGGAUUGCUGGGCUGCUGGCUUCGCAGAGAUCCUUUCAUUUUUAGCCGGUAUUUUUAAACAUGGAGAGAACAAGCGAUGCAUAACAAUCUGUAAGAUGUGGUCCUCAUCAUUAUGGUCUAAAAUGAACUCCAGGCAUCACAUCCAUCUGCCAAGUAGGAUGAUGGAGAAAAGGGAAGAAGAGACAAAAGACACAUUGAAGGUAUAUCAUAAAUUUCCUAGAAGCUGCCACACACUAAUUCUACUCACUCUGUUGGCCAGAACUGAAUUGUAUGGUUAUGUCUAGUUCCAAGGGAUGCUGGGAAAUAUUUUUAUUUAAGAUAAAAAUUCUAAAGACUAUAAGGAUUUUAUUCCAAGUCAAGAUUCUAAAAUGGUGAUAAUAGACGUAUUGGGAUUAGCAACCAGUGGUCUCUGACGCAGGUAUGUUUGUAAGGAGGUGAGGGCAUGUGUUUUCUUUUGUAGCUCUCAGCUGCUAGUGCAGAAAGGAGAAGGAGCAGUUGAAUGGAAUAUGGUGCAGGGGAUUGAGGGGCUGCAGAAGAAUAGGAGUGCCAGGCAUGGAGGGUGUGGGAGAGAGAACAGUUUAAGUCUGGUUGGAAAGGAAAGAAGGCUGCAUAGAGGACGAUAGACUGGGAGAAAUAAGAGGCAUCAAGGGAUUCGUGGUCUUAGGCUGAAACAUAGAUGCACAGCUAGAUGGCUGGGAGGCAGUGUCUGAAAAUGGCAUGUUUGGCAGUGAUCAGAUGAACAGUGUGGAUGUAGCAGUGAGUGAUUGAUGUGGAAGGGUGAUGAGGAUCAUUCAAUGCAAGGAAGGUAACAUUUGGCAUUGGAGGGUUCUCCCCCUGCACACUGACCUGCUCCAGGAGGAUGGCAGGAGUAGGGAGACAGAGAAAUUCAGGGAAGUUGGUGUAGUUAGAUAGCUUGAACCCCAAAGGAAUUACACAGGAGGAGAGUAUUGGUUUUGAAACACAUAGGAAUGUGAGGACUCUGAUCCCACCUCCUGGCUUCAUCUGCUGAACCAGGUAGAUAUGUAGACAUGAGAGAACAAGAAAUCAUCCCUCAGGAUGGCUGUAGAAGGUGCUUGUGGUCAGGGAUAAAUAGGUCUCAGGGGGGUCCAAGAAGAGAAGAGAACCUUAUGUGAUGAGGUGUAGGAUGAAGGGGAUUGAUUUGCCCUGGGAUAAAGGAUUCUAGUGGGCAUAGAGGAUUUGCAGGAAAGAGGAGCAGCUAGUGUUUGGGAGAAGAUACAUAGGACAGUAUGGGCUUGAGAAUGUGAGAACAAAUGAGAAGGUUUACAGUUUGGACAGUGAUGUAAAGUUUAAAGGAUGUAACAUUUGGGCAUGGGGAGUCCACACAGAUCUCUGGGGCCAAGUUGUCUUGGAGAAGUUCCAAGAUGUGGGUCCAGAGUGAUUUGGGCUAGUACAAGGCUCCUGGCUGUGGGUCAGCCCAAGGAUGGGCUCUGAGUGGUUACAGACCACACAGGAAUUUCCAACAACCUAAAUGUGGAACAGCUGCAGGUCAAAAAGAGAUCCAUUCCUUCCUUGGAAGUCUCCCUUGCCUAGCUUCCAAGGCUUCUGGGAUAAAGUUUGAGCCCAGAAACAACCAUCACUCACCCUGCCAGAUAACUCUGGCUGCCCAAUAGUGCUGAGAAUCAUGCUCUUCUAACAUCUAAUUUGAUUUAAAAUCUUUUAUGUUUGAGGUGAACUUUUUCUCUGUUGACAAUGGGCUGGGUUUAGCCUAUUCAUUAGGGGUGGAACUCCUAGCUUGUGGUAAAUCCUGAUUGGAAAACAAUAUAAACACAUUUCCUGGUAAAUGUAUAAAUAUAUAUAGAUGUUGGUUGUUCCCCUCCCCACCACUAAUAUACACUGUAGAAGCAAUUUGAAGCAAUUUAGAUGUGCUCAGCAUCUGGCCAUCAUAAAAGGUUUCGAGUGAGUCAUGAUUUUGCAUCAACAGAGAGGGUUUGUCUUUCUUGUGGAGAGAAUUGUAUUCACCUCUCCUUCUGCCUGUGAGCUUCUCUAUUACUUUAUGAUGAUCAGUCUGAUUUGUGUGUAAAGAGACUGGUGAGAUAAGAAUUUGGGGAAGGGAAGCAAGGAGAAGAGGAGGAGCACCCAGACAGCUACAUAUUCAAGGCAAAAUAGAUUUGGGGAGAAUUACCUGUUUUUGCUUUUGAGAAGCAAGCAAGCAAGAAAGAAAGAAAGAAAGAAAGGAAGGAAGAAAGAGAGAGAAAUGAAGGAAGAAGGAAAGAGAAAGAAAGAAAAGAAGGAAUGAAGGAAGGAAGGAAGGAAGAAAAGAAAGAAAAGAAAGAAAAGAAAGAAAGAAAGAGUGAAAAAAGUGUCAUUUUGUGAGUUAGGAGAUGACCUCUGCUCCUAGCUGUCGGCUACUCAAUCUCUUGGCUCCUCAGUUUGCUCAUCUGACAAGUGGGCCCCUUAACGGUUGCCCUAUCCAGUUGAGAGGAAAGGAGAGCUCUUGCUUGACAGCUCUGUUGGGUGCCAGCUGGGCUGUGGGCUCCUUAGAUCUGCCAUCUCAUUUAAUGCCCAAGACAAUCCCAUGAGGGAAGUGGCAUUAAGCUCUUCUUCAGCUGAAAGAACUGAAACAUGGAGAGUCAAAGUGGCUUGUCCAAGAUCAUAAAGCUUAUCAGGACUCAAACCCACAUCUGUCUGGCUUCAAAUCCUGCAUUCUUCCUAUUACUUCAUGCUAACAAUGAGGUCAUAGAACACAUUCUAGUCUCCUCCUUGGAAGGGAAAAAGCACAAAGUGGCUUCCCUGCUGUAAGGCCCAAGAUGUUCCUGCGUCCUUGGUCCCCACAGAGAGCCCAACUAAGCCCAGUUCUGUUUCCUCAGAGCCCUGCUUUCUGCUGUGGGAGCAGCCCAGGCUAACCAUAAGCUCCUAUGCGGAGUGGGAGUAAGCAGGAUGCAGUCCUCCAUAUCUCUUCGAGAAACUGCACAGAACACCAUGGAAGGCACUCAGUGAGUAGUUCCGGAAGGAAAGACCUGGCCUGAAUUGAGUGCUCAGUAAAUUUUGGUUGAAUGAAUGAAUGAAUGUGCAUGGUUUUGAAACCCCGGGCAGAUGUUAGGACGCUCCCCAGGAAUGCUGGUUGUGUGUGGGGGCAGAGGAUAGUUUCUUAAAACUCCAUUGUGCCUAAACUCCAGGCUGCCUAGAUGCUAAAAUAACUUAGGCUGCAGGGUCAGGCCUGCCCAUCCUGUACUUACCCCACCAGCCCAGCCCUCUUCCCAGGGCCUGGAGCUGAACAAGAUGAAGACUGGCUUUAUCCAGCCAGUAAAUUUCAUGUAUUCAAAAAAAAAAAAAAAAAAAAAAAAGAAUCCAGAAACUUUGAUAGACCUUUAUAUUAAUGUUACAUUUAUUACUCCCACCUCCAAAGUGGCCCAGAACCCUACUUCUGUAGAUAUCUUCAGUUUGACCAACAUGAGCAAGCUAGCUUUCUUGUGUGUGUGUGUCACUUUGUACAAAAAACUCAAGGCUUUAAUAACAGAACAAAGUUGUGAUAGGCAUGUUGACUGGCUGGUUUUAUCGAAGUGAACCUUACAGAAGUGGGUUAAAAAGGUCUUCAGCAGUCGCUUCCUGUCCCACUUAGUAAAUAUUCCUUCCCUGUCCUAGCAGCUGUCUCCGAGAAACUCUUAUUGUGAUGGAGUUGUUUUCCCAAACUUGGAAAAGCCAAGGGCUGUAGGUGGCCCCAUGGUCUUUCAACCUCUAACCAAGCCUGGAGGAUCCAAAUAAAAAAUUUCUGGGCCUUAAAACCAAAUUGUACUCUGACUCAAACCAGAACCUGUCCACAGGUUCAGCUCCCCCUGUGGCAGUGACCCUUGUUCUGCAACGGAAGUGGGGGUGGAGGUUGAGGGACCUCAGUUUAGUUCCCGCAGACAGAGUGGCGGCCCUCAUCCCAGGUGGCUUUUGAUUGAAAGAGGCCCAUGUGGAGCUUCCUCUGUCCCUCCUAAGGUAGUCGGGGUUUUUUUGUUGUCACAAACUCGGAGUUUGAAACCUUGUUUCCAAGCAGUGGCUCUGCUAAAAGUGACCUUGUGCCAGGAAAACCUCCCUGUGUCUUGAUUUGUGCUUCUUUAUGGUGAGGGAUUUAGAGUUGCUGAGUGAUUUUCAAACAUUUCCCCCUAGUAGCAAGACUCUUUGUACAAAGGAAAUCUGUCUGCAUGCCCGAUAUGGAAGAGGUAGAGCUGCUCUGUUUACUUUGAAGGUGGACUUUCUCUUCCUCUGUGUGGCCAUACUAGAUGUAGCUCUAAACUUCUGUGUUUUAAUUUUUUCCCCCUAAGUUGGAUAACAUAUUAAUAGGACAGGGGGAGAAGGACCAGAAAGACGUUAAGAUGUGAAAGGGACCGAAUUAACAGAUCACAGGCUAUGCUUUUCCACAUCGAAAAGGAAGAUAAAAGGUAUUAUAGAAGAUGUUAGUAAAUUGUUUCUCUGAAAAGCCUUACAGAUCAUGGCAUGAAAUUACAUUAAGUUGUAUAUGUGCCAUCUUCAAAAGAAUAACGUUAUAGCACCAUCAGUGGACGCUGUUUUGGCUGUGUGAACCUUGUAGGUAAGAGGAGAUGGACAUUCACAGGCCUGGCUUUUCCUACUCAUGUAAAUAGUAUGAGUUUUCACUGUUAAAACAGUUCAUUUCAUUGCUAUCUUAUUUCUGUCACAGGCCCUGAGAGCUUGGUUGGGCCAAGGGUCACUCAGAAAAUAACCAGCUUCCACUUUUUUAAUUAUGCAAACUAGAGCUAGAUGACUGAGAUCUUGCCUUUGGUCUGCAAGACAUAGGGAGUUUUGCAAGCCCUAGGGGAGUGCAGAAUUUCCUGAAGAUGUUGCAAGGUGGCCGGCUUUCUUCUGAAGUCAUGCAAUAUUCUCCUUUGCUUUGGUUAUGACUGCAGAGGUGCUGGGAAGCCAAAUGAAAACUGGCACCUUGGAGCGGGCUUCUCUCCACAGGCCCCUGAGGUGAGGUCUGCUCCCUUAGAGGGAAAGGUGUCCCUGCUCUCAUCUAAAGGUGUUUGGUCCAACUCCACCUCUCAGUUACUUCAUUGGCAGUUUUCCAAACCAAAAAUAUUUUUGCAGAGGGAAGGGCAUGCAAAGGCUUGAAAAUUUAGAGAGCAGAGAGCUAGAUGGCCCAGAUUUAUGAAAGUUCCUAUUCUGCUAGUUUAAAUUGGAAAAGGAUCUGGGAAUUCCCAGAGAAAGAGAGCUUCAUUGAGAAAGAACAAAUUUCAUCAGAGAAUUUUAUCACCAGCCACAUGGGGCAUCCUGAUGCAGUCACUGCCCCACACCUCUUAGCUGCCAUGAGAGGAAGACCUGGGCUGCAGACGCCCCAGAAGCUAGGCCCAACCUCACUCAAGCCUCCUGGGCACAUUGCAGAGGAAAGUCACCCCUGUUCCCCCACUCUACCCACAUCCCAGUAGAGGUGAGCUUCUAGACAUCCUUACUCUUCUUUUUUCUACCAGCGCAUAAAAUACGCAGUUAUUAAAGAUUUUCAUAUUUUAGAAUAAUAUCACUUACCUUGGUCUUGGUAAAUCUUCAGCGAAUCACUCCUCUUUGCUAAGGAGUAGGAAGACCAGCUAGUUUAUUUUAUCAUGCCUAUAAGCAGAAGAUGCCAAAUAAUGCCAUACAGAGACUCCACUAAGUACAUUAAGUUUGGUGGGGUUUUUAAGUGUUUGAGAAUCUCAUGGGAAUGAAAUGAUUCAAAGGACAAAAUUUAAAAAACACAUAAAGUCAUCAUUCUCUGAAAAUAAUAGCAUACGAAUUAGUUCCUGAAGCAUUUAAAUAGAAAGUGAAACUGAAUCACAGUUUAUUUUUCAUAGUAAAGCUAUUUAGAAUGCAAGUCCUCUUCCCUGAAAGAGCAACAGGGUUUUUGUAAAACAUUUCUUCCUGUUCUCUGAAAUUAGGAGUUCACAAGAAGACCUGGGGGUUAUGCUUUUUGAAGGUAACACUUUACUUCAACAAUGAAGAAUGCCACAUGGAAAUCAAGGAGUGGUGUUCUGGAGAGGAGACGUGUACCUCCUGAGUCAGCAGAGCAUAUGACUGAACCGCAGUUUGGGUCAGACACCCAAGGCCAGGGAAGCAGCUGCUCAGUCCUGUGUACACCGCAAGCUGAGCAAAUGGUGAUAUCUGUGUCAGAGGGGUCUCACGAUACCGUUGAGAGUCAGCUUGGGUGAGCUGGAGCUCAGUAUAUAUAUCAAGGGCCUCGAGAAAGUAUAGGAAGAGUUGGGAAGACUAGCUAUGUAAAGGGGGUGGGAAAGAAUCUUUCUCAAGAAAAUUGAUUUUGUAGGUUUUUCAUUUGUAGGGUGGCAAGGUCCCUUUCCCUCCCAUCUGCUUGAAAAUACUUUACUGUCCCAGUAGAGUUCUAGUCCAGACCCUGGUUGACCCCAUCUUCUUAAUCAUGCUUGCUGUUUUUCUGUUUUCUCCAACUUCAGACUUCUGUGUCUUAAAAAAGAAUACAUGGUGGGUCUUACCUGCCUCUGGGCCUUUCCUCUUGAGGCUGCCCCUGCCUGGGUCAUACCUUUGCCUUCCUAUCCCCCUAUUUCCACUUCUUACCCCCAUCCAUCCUUCCAUGCCAUCACAGAUGUUCCACUUAUUUCUGACCACCUCACCGUACCCUGUACUUUUAAGUGGUGUGACCAAAAAAUCUAAUGUCCAAAUCAGAAUACUUUUGGAAGUAAAAGGGAUGCUUGUAAUCAAUGAUGCUGAGAUAAUAAAGUAGGGACUAUCCCAAGCAAACCAGGAUGGAUGUUCCUCUUCAACGCAUUUACCCUUGUCAUGUCUCCUUCCCAUAGGAAGGUUGACGAUUCUGAGGGCGAUGACUGCCUUGUUUUUGCAUCCCUUCUCAUGUCCAGCCAGUACUUUUUUUUAUAUAUAAAAUAAACUUUUUAUUUUGAAAUAAUUACAGAUUUAUAUAAAGCUGUGGAGAAAUACAGAGUUCCUGCAUACCCCUUACCCAAUUUCCCCCAUUAUUUACAUUUUGCACUUCCAUGAUACAUUUAUUAAAACUAAGGAACUGUAUUGGUUUAUUAUUAUUAACUAACGUCCAGACCAGUUUUUCUAUUAAUGUCCUCUUCCUGUUCUGAUCCAGACUAGAAUACCAUACUGUGUUUAGUUUACAUGUCUCCCCGGGUCAGUCUUUCCUUGUUUUCAUGACUUUGUGCCAUAAGAGGUACUAUCCAAAUUUCAUGAAGAAAUGUGACCAAACUGGAUUUGUCUGUUUUUGUGUAAUUAGGCCCAGGUUAUGGUUUUGGGGAAGAAUACCGUAGAAGUGAAGUCCUUUCUCAUCACACAUAUCAGGGGGCACAUGAUAGCACUGGGGAUAUGAACUUCAUCACUUGGUUAAUGUGUUGUGUUUCCUUUCCCUAUUCUGUGGAAGCGGGUCACUAAGUUUAAACCACUCUCAAAGGGUGGACUAACUCCACAUCCUAUAAGGAGUACUAUCUACAAACAGUAUUAUUCAUUGAUUUAUUUUAAAACUGAUAAUUAUUUUCUGACCUUAUUUCCAUUUUCUGUUUAAAAGCCUGUGGACGAACAGCUUAAAAUCACCCAGGGUUUUUCCUACCCACUCAGUGGCCUGAGCAGUGGGAGCUGCAGACCAGCCUGCUGUGGAGGGCCAUGCAUGCCUUUCUUCAGUAGGAAGCACUUGUUUGCUUUCCAGUACUACAAGAUGCUCCAGGCUUGUCUUGUAUUUUUCCUACCCCAGCCUUAGAACCAGCCAAUUUCCCAAGGAGGCUUGUAUCCUUUUAUUGGAAAAUGACAUUUAGAAACAAAGAUGUAGCACAGUUCUUUGAGCUGAACUGAAAUCUGCUCUGGUCCUCCUGAACUAACUUCAAUCUGGCAGGAGUGUGUGAGAGGCACAUGCAAUAGCCCCAGAGCUGUGUGGUGACCGGGUGACAGAGGUGGUUGUGGUCCAUUUGGGCAUUAAUCCAUUUUGCUUCCUAAUGAGUGAGUAGUGAGCUACUGUGUCCUUACUUGAGGGCCCUACCCCUGCAGGGUGUGAGAGAAAACUAAAGAGGUGUCUCUGGGCCCAGAGUGGGGGCAGUGGGAUACAGCAGCUUCUUCCCCUCUAUACCCUGGUCAUUAGUAGGACAGAUGGAGGGGCCCUUCUUUAUCUGUGAUUGUUAACAAUUUUGUUUAAAAUUUUUUGAGGUAUAAUUGACCUGUACCACUUUAUGAAUUUCAGGUGUACCACAUCAUUUGAUAUUUGUGUAUGUUGUGAAGUGAUCACCACAGUAAGUCUAGUUGACAUCUGUCACCACACCUGGCCCAGAUUUACGUUUUUUUUUCUUGUGAUGAGCACUUUUAAGAUCUACUCUCAGCAAACUUCAAAUGGGCAAUACAGUAUUAUUAACUAUAGUCCCCAUGCUGUACAUUAUAUUCCCAGGACUUAAUUACUUUAUAACUAGAAGUUGGUGCCUUUUGUCUCCUUUGACUCAUUUCACCACCAACCCUCCCCAUGCCCCACCAUUCUUGAAACCACCAAUCUGUUCUCUGUAUCUUUGAGCUUGGUUUUUAAAUAUUUUAAAAUUUUUAUUUGUAGAUUACACAUACAAGUAAGAUCAUAUGAUAUUUGUAUUCUUCCAUCUGACUUAUUUCACUUAGUAUAAUGCCCUAAAGGCCCGUCCAUAUUGUUGCAAGUACCAAGAUUUCCUUCCUUUUUAUGGCUGAGUAAUAUUCCAUUGACUAUAUAUGCCACAUUUUUUUUUCAAUAUAUGCAAUUUAUUGUCAAAUUGGUUUCCAUACAAC